GACGAACGCUGGCGGCGUGCUUAACACAUGCAAGUCGAACGAAGUGGCGAACGGGUGAGUAACGCGUAAUCAACUUGCCCUUCAGCGGGGGACAACAGUUGGAAACGACUGCUAAUACCGCAUACUGAAGGUGGGGAUUGCGUCUGUUUGGCUAGUUGGAGGGGUAACGGCCCACCAAGGCGAUGAUCAGUAGACGGUCUGGGAGGAGUAACGGCCACAAUGGGACUGGGACACGGCCCAGACUCCUACGGGAGGCAGCAGUGGGGGAUCUUCCGGAAUGGACGAAAGUCUGACGGAGCAACGCCGCGUGAGUGAUGACAGCCUUCGGGUUGUAAAGCUCUGUUAAUCGGGACGCGGUACCGGAAUAGAAAGCCACGGCUAACUACGUGCCAGCAGCCGCGGUAAUAC
This 408-nucleotide ribosomal RNA is filed under the name uncultured bacterium. RNAcentral's name for it is "partial 16S ribosomal RNA". It matches the Rfam family "Bacterial small subunit ribosomal RNA", at positions 28 to 526 of the family's 1533-position model. The record is from RNAcentral.